CCUACGGGAGGCAGCAGUGGGGAAUAUUGCACAAUGGGCGGAAGCCUGAUGCAGCGACGCCGCGUGGGGGAUGACGGCCUUCGGGUUGUAAACCUCUUUCGCCAGGGGCGAAGGGCAACUGACGGUACCUGGAGAAGAAGCACCGGCUAACUACGUGCCAGCAGCCGCGGUAAU
Molecule: ribosomal RNA, 174 nt
Filed under: uncultured bacterium
Lineage: Bacteria
Description: partial 16S rRNA
Rfam family: Bacterial small subunit ribosomal RNA
Source: RNAcentral